CUCGUUUGGAUUAAUUCUGAUAUAAUAACUGUUGGUUUAUUUAUCGGAGGAACAGCAGAACCUUUUCCACAGACAGUUUUCCUGCCCGUUGGCUUGUUUUAACCAGUUUUCUGCCUUCGGCUGAUUCUACCAGCAGACACCGAAAGGACUCUGAUACUUCAAGUGAAAGUAGCAGUUCCUCCUGAAGGUCAGAGAUUGCAGCAUCUGAGGGCCUCUUCAAAAGAAGACGUAGUUGAUGAAGACGUUCUGGAGCAGGACCAGAAAGACCACGACCAAGCAGCCUUGAGAUCUUAGGCAGCGUCUCCCUCAGGUCCCUCUCUAUCUCCCCACACAUCCACCAACCACUGGAACACAUCUCCAAAGUUCUGCCAGGCCAGCUCAGCUUCCCCUCAGAAGAAGUGCUGCCACCUGCCAGAUGAAGGAGCCUUUUGAGAGGCAGCUGGCAUCGUGAUUGGACUGUACUUUGGUCUGUUCCAAUCCAGCUUCAGCUCCAGAGACGGCAGGCGGGACGAGUCAACGGAGGCCGGGUGGACGAAGGCAUGCAGCUGAGUACAAUCCAGAAAACAACAGAGGAGGAGUGCAGCGGCCCAGUAUAGCCUUCGACCAAAGAACUACAGACUCUUCACAACCUGCUCUAACUCUUGGUACAGGACCUCACCACACGGGUCAAGAAGGUUUCUGUCUCAUUUCUACUCUGAAGCUCACCUUCUCCUGCUCAAACUGCUGACAAAUGUUUCUGCUGCUCUAAAGUCUGCUCUCCAGAACUUCCUAAAAACUCUCAAAGUCUCUUUUGCUGCAGGUUGCUUUGAAGAACUGUUACAGAAAACCUCACUAACCCACAUGGAGGGGCCUCAAGAUAGACAUCCAAAUGAAACCGUACAAAAACCAAACUCGCACAACCCAAACGCUAAAGUCUCCUGCAGCCUACCAGAGAACCUCUUUAAACAGAGAAUCAGGACAGGAACUCUUACCUUCUGGACAACCAAUGCUGGUUCACAAACAAGAAUACAGAAUGUGUCUGACCAAAAACCUCUAAAGACUCACUACAGCCAAGAUAAAGACACAGCUCACCUGCACCAAAUCCACUAAUCACUGCACACAUUAGGACCAUGUGCUCACUGUGGCUAAAGAACCACAUUUACCAAGACAACUAUCCAGUACAAAGCCCUAAAACACACCAAGAAACACAUUAAAGACGAUUUUACUGCUGGAAGCUGCAGUUCAGUGGUGAACAGAAGCAGAGGAAAUGUUUGGCUGCAGCUAAAUAAAGCAGGAAGACACUGAGCUGCUCAGGUGUUCCUGAUAACACCAAGCAGCCACCUGGACAGCCAAUAGGAACACAGCUUACUGGAAGUCCAGACGGCUGGCUUAGUCAAGGAAAUUUAGUUUAAAGUUGAAGCAGAAAGUUAACAAAGAAAGU
Molecule: long non-coding RNA, 1420 nt
Organism: Amphiprion ocellaris (clown anemonefish)
Lineage: Eukaryota; Metazoa; Chordata; Actinopteri; Pomacentridae
Exons: 4
Source: RefSeq, a predicted model, not a curated record